GACGAACGCUGGCGGCGUGCUUAACACAUGCCAGUCGAACGGAAAGGCCCUGCUUUUGUGGGGUGCUCGAGUGGCGAACGGGUGAGUAACACGUGAGUAACCUGCCCUUGACUUUGGGAUAACUUCAGGAAACUGGGGCUAAUACCGGAUAGGAGCUCCUGCUGCAUGGUGGGGGUUGGAAAGUUUCGGCGGUUGGGGAUGGACUCGCGGCUUAUCAGCUUGUUGGUGGGGUAGUGGCUUACCAAGGCUUUGACGGGUAGCCGGCCUGAGAGGGUGACCGGCCACAUGGGGACUGAGAUACGGCCCAGACUCCUACGGGAGGCAGCAGUGGGGAAUAUUGCACAAUGGGCGGAAGCCUGAUGCAGCAACGCCGCGUGCGGGAUGACGGCCUUCGGGUUGUAAACCGCUUUCGCCUGUGACGAAGCGUGAGUGACGGUAAUGGGUAAAGAAGCACCGGCUAACUACGU
Molecule: ribosomal RNA, 467 nt
Filed under: uncultured bacterium
Lineage: Bacteria
Description: partial 16S ribosomal RNA
Rfam family: Bacterial small subunit ribosomal RNA
Source: RNAcentral